AAGUUAAAUUAAUACUCGAAAUUAGGUGAUUGUGAAUAUGUAUAAAUAUAAUUCUGUUUCAACGGUAUUUCGAGUAACAGAGGGAGACACGUGAAAGUAAUACAAUAACAACUCGAUCGUCGAGUUUAACCGACAAUUGCCGAAUAUCCAGGCCGAUCGCCGAGUUUAGCCGAAAACCUCCGAAUACGUACGAUCGUCGGGCCUCGGCGUCCGCCGAAUGCUACCGAAAAAGAGAAACAUUCCGAAAGUCGCAACAAUGACGUUCUACGAUGAAUAUACACGUGAUAUAAAGCUAAACUAAACGAAGAUACGUAUUGAUUAAGUUAAAAAUAAUUACACCUAUUACGAUAAUUCUAUCGUUACAUCAGUGUAUCAUAACAUUGGCCAUAACAACCCUCGUGAAACUCGUGUUGAACCAAACCUAACCUCGCUACGCCUUUUUUGGCUCGCGUCUGUCUGCCCCGUUAAAUCUUGGCCAGAUUCGUGUGGACUUUGACACUGGGACGCCGCGCGUCGCGUCGCGUCGCGGUCCUGUAGAGUAGAAACCAACCGACUUGGAUCGUGGAAAGAGCCCCACCAUCGGCGUGGGCUCGCAGGCCCACGGCACACGACUGACAGUUCCCAGUCAGCUGAUCGUCCACCGAAGGGGGGGGUAAGGGGGCACAGAGCAGCAGAACAGCAGCAGCAGCAGUAGCAGCAGCAGUAAUAGUAGUAGUAGUAGAAGUAGUAGUAGCACGACCAGCAGCAGGAGGUGGUGGAGGUGGCGGAGGUGGAAGAGGGGGGUGUGGAGAAGAAGGGAAGGAGGGCAGAGGGGUUGGCGACGCGCAGUCUGCCGUCGUCGUCGGGAUCAGCUGAUCGGUGGAGGUGUACUGGUAACUGACUGACUGUGAACUCUGAAUGAACGAACGGAUGAAGAAGUCUUCGCGUGCGUACACGUAUAGGGAGAGCUCUCGCCGCUGCCUCUCCCGGGGGAGGGGGAGAGAGCGAGCGCGUAUGCGCGCCUGCCUGCCUAACUAUGCGCCAGAGAGCACUCGCGAGGGAUCGGGCACAAGCGUUUAGCGGCAAACGGAAAUAGUGGCCCGGACACGGGAUAGCCAGGAUCAUCUCUUCCAACACCGUCGCCCGCUUUCCAUCGCGAGGAGCGGGGGGGAGGGGAAAAAAAUUGGAAAUAAACUUGGAAAAUCCAAGUUUGUGACGCGUUUAUAUUAUAUCAAGAUUAAGUGGAAUUGGUUCGAGCGAGAAAUUUCUUUCGUUGUUUGCGGGACGAAGGACGACAAGAGGAGAAAGAAGGUCGACAAUCAAAAUAAACUUGUCCUUGAGCGUUCCACCGAGCGUUAAGGAGAAUUGCCUCUCUUUCGACGUAAGGACGAGCAGUGUAGAGUUACACGAGUUUUAACGUACUUUGUUUCCAAGCGUGAUAAACUUGGAAUUAUAUAUGAAACUUAUAGAGGGAAAUAAUACAGAUUAUGGAUACGCGUAAGAUAGAGAAAUAUAACGAUGGAAAAGGAGAAUUUCGAACGAGUGUUAAAAAUUGGAUCUAAUUACAUCACAUUUUUUAUUUUUUUUGCUUCAUCGAUGGAUCAUAACUUUUACAGCUAUUCAAUUAAAUUCGUUCAUCAGCCGAAAGGAUAGGAUGAUAGUAUCGAGAAGAUCGAUAUGCAAUUGCGUAAUAUGCCAUUAAACGUAUGCGUAUAUUUGUCUGGAAAAAUAGAUGGGAAAAGAGUUCGUAUGCGGAAUAUAACGAUCCGAUCAAAAUAAAAUUUUACAUAAUUCUUGUUAAAUCGUACGUUACUUUUCAAGCGCGAAAAAUUGAACCUAUAUUUACGCAAUAUUUUUUUAUUUAUUUUACAAAAAAAAUUAAAAUUGGCACAUAAAUUUAUCUUCGUUAAAUAUUUCUCCAGUUUCUAAAAAUAUAUGUAUCGUCCGUUUCAUCGAAAGAAUUUCGCUUUUAAUUGUUCUUAAUUAAUUAUUCUUCGCUUAUAAUACGCGGCUGUCAUUGUAUAUUAUAGCCGUUCGAUUCUAAUGAACGCGUUUCUCGAUAUAGAAUAGAGAGAAGCUGCGUACGCGUAAUAAACGUGCAUGUACAGUCAUCGACAAUUGAAUACGCAAUAUGCGGUUAAGAGGCCAUGUAAUCCACGACGACAGAAGAACAGCCGCUCCUUGUUCUGCCGGAGACGAUUGCAACGCCAUUACAGACGGUGUAACGAUAUAGUAACUACUCAGACAGGAUCUGUUAGUGCCGCUGUUCGUACACUCUGGAAGAAACCAGUCGUCUUCGCAUCGAUUACAUCGAACGAGCAUAGUUUUCAAAUAAAUUCGCAUGUCGUUUGUAAAUGUUUUAACCGCUGAUCCGUGAUGAUGUGUAUCUAAAUAUGUUGUACACAUUGAUAUGAUAAAAGUAAAUGAAUCGCGUAUUGGAUCAAUAAUUUGAUAGAAAAAAAAAAUCAAUAUUAAUUUAAAAAACUGUUUGCAUUGUUUUUCGUCGAAUUGA
Apis mellifera (honey bee) is the source of this 2491-nucleotide long non-coding RNA. RefSeq lists it as uncharacterized. The transcript is spliced from 2 exons. NCBI's taxonomy places the organism in Eukaryota, Metazoa, Arthropoda, Insecta, Hymenoptera, Apidae. The record is from RefSeq and is a predicted model, not a curated record.